GGGGGGGGGGGGGGGGGGGGGGAGGGGGGGCGGGGCGGGGGGAGAGGGCGUGCGUGGGGGGGGUGCUCGAGGGGCGAACGGGGGAGUAACACGUGAGUAACCUGCCCUUGACUUUGGGAUAACUUCAGGAAACUGGGGCUAAUACCGGAUAGGAGCUCCUGCUGCAUGGUGGGGGUUGGAAAGUUUCGGCGGUUGGGGAUGGACUCGCGGCUUAUCAGCUUGUUGGUGGGGUAGUGGCUUACCAAGGCUUUGACGGGUAGCCGGCCUGAGAGGGUGACCGGCCACAUUGGGACUGAGAUACGGCCCAGACUCCUACGGGAGGCAGCAGUGGGGAAUAUUGCACAAUGGGCGGAAGCCUGAUGCAGCAACGCCGCGUGCGGGAUGACGGCCUUCGGGUUGUAAACCGCUUUCGCCUGUGACGAAGCGUGAGUGACGGUAAUGGGUAGAGAAGCACCGGCUAACUACGUG
Molecule: ribosomal RNA, 468 nt
Filed under: uncultured bacterium
Lineage: Bacteria
Description: partial 16S ribosomal RNA
Rfam family: Bacterial small subunit ribosomal RNA
Source: RNAcentral